AGAACGAACGCUGGCGGCGUGGAUAAGACAUGCAAGUCGAACGGGAUAUCAAGUUAGCAAUAAUGAGAUAUUUAGUGGCGAACGGGUGCGUAACACGUGGGAAUCUGCCGAGGAGUGGGGGAUAGCUCGCCGAAAGGCGAAUUAAUACCGCAUUAAAAGAGGGGGACCGCAAGGCCUCUCGCUUCUCGAUGAGCCCGCGGCCUAUCAGCUAGUUGGUAAGGUAAUGGCUUACCAAGGCUUUGACGGGUAGCUGGUCUGAGAGGACGACCAGCCACACUGGGACUGAGACACGGCCCAGACACCUACGGGUGGCAGCAGUCGAGAAUUUUUUCACAAUGGGGGAAACCCUGAUGGAGCGACGCCGCGUGGAGGAUGAAGGCCUUCGGUCGUAAACUCCUGUCAUCAUAGAACAAGAUCACGGGGUUAAUAACUGAUGUGAUUUGAUGGUAUAUGGAGAGGAAGGGACGGCUAACUCUGUGCAGCAGCCGCGGUAACU
RNAcentral lists this ribosomal RNA (496 nucleotides) under uncultured bacterium. Its description in RNAcentral is "SSU rRNA". It matches the Rfam family "Bacterial small subunit ribosomal RNA", at positions 26 to 525 of the family's 1533-position model. The record is from RNAcentral.